Selaginella moellendorffii is the source of this 159-nucleotide long non-coding RNA. RefSeq lists it as uncharacterized. The transcript has 3 exons. The record is from RefSeq and is a predicted model, not a curated record. NCBI's taxonomy places the organism in Eukaryota, Viridiplantae, Streptophyta, Lycopodiopsida, Selaginellales, Selaginellaceae.
UGACACCCGUAUAUGGGGAGACCGCGAAAGAGCUGAAAGGGAUACAUUUGCGGUGAGCUUAAACGCGUUGGAAUUUUUGCUGUGUCUUCAAUCAAACAGAUUUGGAGAUCACAUCACGAAGCUCUUUGUGGACAAGUCCACAUGAUUUUCUGGUCCUUU